Molecule: RNA transcript, 653 nt
Organism: Myotis davidii
Lineage: Eukaryota; Metazoa; Chordata; Mammalia; Chiroptera; Vespertilionidae
Gene name: Ig heavy chain V-III region 23-like
Exons: 3
Source: RefSeq, a predicted model, not a curated record
AUGGCUCCCUAUGCUCAUAAAAAGCAGCCCAGCCCUGACCCUGCAGCUCUGGGACAGGAGCCCAGCCCUGGGAUCCCCAGGUGUUCCCAUUCCCAGAUCAGGACUGAACACAGACCACUCACCAUGGGGUUUGGGCUCAUUUCCUUGCGGCUCUUUUAAGAGGUGUCCAGUGUGAAGUGCAGCUGGUGGAGUCUGGGGGAGGCUUGGUGCAGCCUGAGGGGUCUCUUAGGCUCAUCUGUACAGCCUCUGGAUUCACCUUCAGUAGUUACCAUAUGACCUGGGUUGGCCAGGCUCCAGGGAAGGGGCUGGAGUGGGUGGCAAUUAUAUGGAAUGAUGGAAGUCAGAAAUACUAUGCAGACUCUGUGAAAGGCCGCUUCACCAUCUCCAGAGACAAUGCCAAGAACACGCUGUAUCUUCAAAUGAACAGCCUGAAAGCCGAGGACACAGCCGUGUAUUACUGUGCAAGAUACACAGUAAGGGGAAGUCAGUCUCAGGUCCCAGCCAGCCAGCACCAGGAGACCUGUGUGCUGGACAGUGGAAACCAGAGGAGUGUGACUCCAAAGCUAGAGAAGAAGGACCCUGGUGGUGAAAUUCAUUCACUUGUCAUCACUCUCAUAGCACCAAUAGCUGGUGAUGCCAUCAGGAGGAAGUAG